CUCUCUCUCUCUCUCUCUCCAUGGUUUUUCCUACUAUCAUUUAUGUAUUACAUGGUUGUUUAAAUAUUUGGAUGAUAACGUAUUAUGCAUUGAUUAAUUUGUGUUCAUUGACUAUUUUUUAAGUUCUAUCAAUUUUCUCACUACAAUAUGAUGCAUCGUUUUUGUGAAAAGUUUGGUCUCAUCUAGAAUCUCUCACACUUUUUAGUUUGUUGUUAGAUUCCUUGGUUUCAUCUUCAGUUUCUUGGUCAUCUGUGUUUAACUAUUUUCCCUUGAUGAAAUCAAACCAUAUCAUUUUUUCAUCAAAUACCAUUCUAAAGUUAUUUUAACAUUUGUAAUGAGAUUAAAAUGUGAUCUGUUUUAACUUUAUGCAGGG
Molecule: unclassified non-coding RNA, 373 nt
Filed under: Hevea brasiliensis (rubber tree)
Lineage: Eukaryota; Viridiplantae; Streptophyta; Magnoliopsida; Malpighiales; Euphorbiaceae
Source: RNAcentral